RNAcentral lists this transfer RNA (794 nucleotides) under Bradyrhizobium japonicum. RNAcentral describes it as "16S-23S ribosomal RNA intergenic spacer". The stretch from base 189 to 262 matches the Rfam family "tRNA". The record is from RNAcentral. Lineage: Bacteria; Pseudomonadati; Pseudomonadota; Alphaproteobacteria; Hyphomicrobiales; Nitrobacteraceae.
CUAAGGAUGGUUCUUCAGAAGCUUGCUUCUAUCGAACCGUUUUAGAAACAUCAGUGGCCAACGGUCGUCAGGAUCGUUGAGCUGCAUUGGCGGGAUUUCGCCGUCUUCGUUUCUCUUUCUUCGCGGACGAACACGCGCUGGGGCUGCAACCUUGCAGAAUCCCUGGUCCUUGACUGGAUAUGCGUUAGGGGCUUGUAGCUCAGUUGGUUAGAGCGCGCGCUUGAUAAGCGUGAGGUCGGAAGUUCAAGUCUUCCCAGGCCCACCACACUCAUCGAGUGAGCAUUCGUCUUCUGGUUACGGGGCCAUAGCUCAGCUGGGAGAGCGCGUGCUUUGCAAGCAUGAGGUCGUCGGUUCGAUCCCGUCUGGCUCCACCAGAUGGUUUGAUCACCGACUACUCAUACCGUCGUCCGCGAAACAUCACUUCGCACUUACUAGUCCGGAUGGACAGUGAGCUGCGUGAUUUCUGACAUCGUAAAGAGGAGAUCGAUCCGAGUUGGAUCGGGCAACAAGUAAUUGUUGCGCGAUACUUCAUUAUCUCCGGAUCAUUUCGGCGCUCGUGCGUCUUUUGGCGUAGCUCACAAGGCUACAUUGAAAGACGAGCGAGUUGUAAAUGAUCCUUUUAGCGAAGCUUGACCGCCUCGCUAUCGGAACGAUCUUACGAAGCAAGCUGGUCUUUCUAAUCAUUGUCCGGCUGCAGAUAGCGUUCAUCGAGGGCGCGUGCCUUAGAGACUUAGGUUUCUUGGUAAUUCUGCAGACAACAUUCUGCCGAGUGUGUGGACAUUGAUAAUGAGAGC